RNAcentral lists this long non-coding RNA (312 nucleotides) under Marmota monax (woodchuck). The record is from RNAcentral. Lineage: Eukaryota; Metazoa; Chordata; Mammalia; Rodentia; Sciuridae.
CAAUAAACCAACUUAAAAACUCAAUGGAGAAUACUACCAGCAGAGUAGAACACUUAGAAGAUAGAACAUCAGACAAUGAAGACAAAGUAUUUCAACUGGAAAAGAACAUAGACAGCUCAGCAAGACUGUUAAGAAACCAUGAGCAGAACAUCCAAGAAAUAUGGGAUAACAUCAAGAGACCAAACUUAAGAGUCAUUGGGAUACAGGAAGGUACAGAGCUCCAAACCAAAGGAAUGAGCAGUCUAUUCAAUGAAAUAAUACGAGAAAACUUCCCAGACUUGAAGAAUGAGACAGAAUCCCAAAUCCUAGAAG